UACGGAGGGUGCAAGCGUUGUCCGGAUUUACUGGGCGUAAAGAGCGCGCAGGCGGUCGUGCAAGUCGCGUGUGAAAGCCCCCGGCUCAACUGGGGAGGGUCACGCGAUACUGCUCGACUCGAAGGCAGGAGAGGGAAGUGGAAUUCCCGGUGUAGUGGUGAAAUGCGUAGAUAUCGGGAGGAACACCAGUGGCGAAGGCGACUUCCUGGCCUGUUCUUGACGCUGAGGCGCGAAAGCUAGGGUAGCAAACGGG
Molecule: ribosomal RNA, 253 nt
Filed under: uncultured bacterium
Lineage: Bacteria
Description: partial 16S ribosomal RNA
Rfam family: Bacterial small subunit ribosomal RNA
Source: RNAcentral